AUUGAACGCUGGCGGCAUGCUUUACACAUGCAAGUCGAACGGUAACAGGCCUUCGGGUGCUGACGAGUGGCGGACGGGUGAGUAAUGCAUCGGAACGUACCCAGAGGUGGGGGAUAACGCAGCGAAAGCUGUGCUAAUACCGUACGGGAUCUGAGCAUGAAAGCGGGGGACCGAGCAGCAAUGUUUGGCCUCGCGCCUUUGGAGCGGCCGAUGUCGGAUUGGCUAGUUGGUGGGGUAAAUGCCUACCAAGGCGACGAUCCGUAGCUGGUGUGAGAGGACGGCAGGCCACACUAGAACUGAGACACGGCCAAGACUCCUAAGGGAGGCAGCAGUGGGGAAUUUUGGACAAUGGGCGCAAGCCUGAUCCAGCAAUGCCGCGUGCGGGAAGGAGGCGUUCGGGUUGUAAACAGCUUUUGGCAGGAACGAAACGGUGUCCGCUAAUACCGGGCGCUAAUGACGGUACCUGCAGAAUAAGCACCGGCUAACUACGUG
RNAcentral lists this ribosomal RNA (492 nucleotides) under uncultured bacterium. RNAcentral's name for it is "partial 16S ribosomal RNA". It matches the Rfam family "Bacterial small subunit ribosomal RNA", at positions 29 to 507 of the family's 1533-position model. The record is from RNAcentral.